GCCCGUUUAGCUCAGUGGUAGAGCGCGCCACUUGUACUAUGGCGCAAUGGUGAGGUCGGUUGUUCAAUCCAGCCAAUGGGCA
RNAcentral lists this transfer RNA (82 nucleotides) under Wolfiporia cocos MD-104 SS10. RNAcentral describes it as "Wolfiporia cocos (strain MD-104) (brown rot fungus) tRNA". It matches the Rfam family "tRNA". From Rfam's summary of the family: Transfer RNA (tRNA) molecules are approximately 80 nucleotides in length. Their secondary structure includes four short double-helical elements and three loops (D, anti-codon, and T loops). The record is from Rfam by way of RNAcentral. Lineage: Eukaryota; Fungi; Basidiomycota; Agaricomycetes; Polyporales; Phaeolaceae.